ACACAUUCUUAGAUUUCUAUACCAUGCCAUCCAAUAUUUGCUUAAAUAUCUUCGUGCUUUUCUUCCUGUUUUCGUUAUGUUUCGAUAACCCACUUGCUAAAUCAUCUAUCCAAUCUGCUGUCAACAACAAGAACACCACUGGUUAUGGUGGAGGUGGUGGUACCGGCUAUGGUAGUCAAGGUGGUGGAGGUGGUGGUAGCGGCCACGGAAGUGGAGGUGGUGGUGGAGGAAUGGGUGGCGGCGGUUAUGGUGGAGGUGGUAGUAACGGCUAUGGUAGUGGAG
RNAcentral lists this long non-coding RNA (282 nucleotides) under Zostera marina. Its description in RNAcentral is "long non-coding RNA (ZMAR_LNC001170)". The record is from RNAcentral. Lineage: Eukaryota; Viridiplantae; Streptophyta; Magnoliopsida; Alismatales; Zosteraceae.